Ixodes scapularis (black-legged tick) is the source of this 231-nucleotide long non-coding RNA. RefSeq lists it as uncharacterized. The record is from RefSeq and is a predicted model, not a curated record. The transcript is spliced from 2 exons. NCBI's taxonomy places the organism in Eukaryota, Metazoa, Arthropoda, Arachnida, Ixodida, Ixodidae.
GAACAACUUUAUUUUUGCGGCCUCAAUAUUUCGCAAAUUUGGAGAAUAUUUCAUGCGCAGAAAAUUUUGCGAGGAGUGAACGAGGCUGGUGUGCUGCAGUAAUCAAAUGACAGAUGAAGAAAUAAACUUCAACAUAUCGACUGACCUCACUGAAGUGAGCGCCGCUAUCCUUCAGCAUCCCGCUCCACUCCCGGCUGUUCGAUGAAACCAUGGCCUGCCUUGCGGCUCCUG